AGUGGGACUCCUACUGGAGGCAUCAGUGGGACUCCUUCUGCAGGCAGCAGUGGGGAAAUUGGCUCAGAACGAACGCUGGCGGCCCCACUCCUACGGGAGGCAGCAGUGGGACUCCUACGGGAGGCAGCAGUGGGACUCCUACGGGAGGCAGCAGUGGGACAGUUGGCUCAGAACGAACGCUGGCGGCCCCACUCCUACGGGAGGGCAGCAGUGG
Molecule: unclassified non-coding RNA, 214 nt
Filed under: uncultured bacterium
Lineage: Bacteria
Description: partial contains 16S ribosomal RNA and 16S-23S ribosomal RNA intergenic spacer region
Source: RNAcentral